GUCUGAGAAGAGUGGCACAACCAAACAUCAUCCCAGAAGCGAAUCGGCUUACCAUUGCCCAAUCAAAGUCUAGCCCAAGUUCUGCCUGAAAGUUUCUUUGUACCAAAUAAUACCAUUCUAGAUGCAGGAUAUUUUUUAGGUGGGUUGGUCAAUCCAUUCUUUCCAUUGGAGAGGUACUUAGCAGCAAAAUAUGAGCACCAUGGCUUUUUCUUUUCCUUUGGAAAUCUCCAUAGCCACUUCAUAAGAAGGGCU
This 252-nucleotide long non-coding RNA is filed under the name Gossypium barbadense (sea-island cotton). RNAcentral describes it as "long non-coding RNA (GBAR_LNC011294)". Lineage: Eukaryota; Viridiplantae; Streptophyta; Magnoliopsida; Malvales; Malvaceae. The record is from RNAcentral.